AGCGUACACGGUGGAUGCCCUGGCAGUCAGAGGCGAUGAAGGACGUGCUAAUCUGCGAUAAGCGUCGGUAAGGUGAUAUGAACCGUUAUAACCGGCGAUUUCCGAAUGGGGAAACCCAGUGUGUUUCGACACACUAUCAUUAACUGAAUCCAUAGGUUAAUGAGGCGAACCGGGGGAACUGAAACAUCUAAGUACCCCGAGGAAAAGAAAUCAACCGAGAUUCCCCCAGUAGCGGCGAGCGAACGGGGAGCAGCCCAGAGCCUGAAUCAGUGUGUGUGUUAGUGGAAGCGUCUGGAAAGGCGCGCGAUACAGGGUGACAGCCCCGUACACAAAAAUGCACAUGCUGUGAGCUCGAUGAGUAGGGCGGGACACGUGGUAUCCUGUCUGAAUAUGGGGGGACCAUCCUCCAAGGCUAAAUACUCCUGACUGACCGAUAGUGAACCAGUACCGUGAGGGAAAGGCGAAAAGAACCCCGGCGAGGGGAGUGAAAAAGAACCUGAAACCGUGUACGUACAAGCAGUGGGAGCACGCUUAGGCGUGUGACUGCGUACCUUUUGUAUAAUGGGUCAGCGACUUAUAUUCUGUAGCAAGGUUAACCGAAUAGGGGAGCCGAAGGGAAACCGAGUCUUAACUGGGCGUUAAGUUGCAGGGUAUAGACCCGAAACCCGGUGAUCUAGCCAUGGGCAGGUUGAAGGUUGGGUAACACUAACUGGAGGACCGAACCGACUAAUGUUGAAAAAUUAGCGGAUGACUUGUGGCUGGGGGUGAAAGGCCAAUCAAACCGGGAGAUAGCUGGUUCUCCCCGAAAGCUAUUUAGGUAGCGCCUCGUGAAUUCAUCUCCGGGGGUAGAGCACUGUUUCGGCAAGGGGGUCAUCCCGACUUACCAACCCGAUGCAAACUGCGAAUACCGGAGAAUGUUAUCACGGGAGACACACGGCGGGUGCUAACGUCCGUCGUGAAGAGGGAAACAACCCAGACCGCCAGCUAAGGUCCCAAAGUCAUGGUUAAGUGGGAAACGAUGUGGGAAGGCCCAGACAGCCAGGAUGUUGGCUUAGAAGCAGCCAUCAUUUAAAGAAAGCGUAAUAGCUCACUGGUCGAGUCGGCCUGCGCGGAAGAUGUAACGGGGCUAAACCAUGCACCGAAGCUGCGGCAGCGACACUAUGUGUUGUUGGGUAGGGGAGCGUUCUGUAAGCCUGUGAAGGUGUGCUGUGAGGCAUGCUGGAGGUAUCAGAAGUGCGAAUGCUGACAUAAGUAACGAUAAAGCGGGUGAAAAGCCCGCUCGCCGGAAGACCAAGGGUUCCUGUCCAACGUUAAUCGGGGCAGGGUGAGUCGACCCCUAAGGCGAGGCCGAAAGGCGUAGUCGAUGGGAAACAGGUUAAUAUUCCUGUACUUGGUGUUACUGCGAAGGGGGGACGGAGAAGGCUAUGUUGGCCGGGCGACGGUUGUCCCGGUUUAAGCGUGUAGGCUGGUUUUCCAGGCAAAUCCGGAAAAUCAAGGCUGAGGCGUGAUGACGAGGCACUACGGUGCUGAAGCAACAAAUGCCCUGCUUCCAGGAAAAGCCUCUAAGCAUCAGGUAACAUCAAAUCGUACCCCAAACCGACACAGGUGGUCAGGUAGAGAAUACCAAGGCGCUUGAGAGAACUCGGGUGAAGGAACUAGGCAAAAUGGUGCCGUAACUUCGGGAGAAGGCACGCUGAUAUGUAGGUGAGGUCCCUCGCGGAUGGAGCUGAAAUCAGUCGAAGAUACCAGCUGGCUGCAACUGUUUAUUAAAAACACAGCACUGUGCAAACACGAAAGUGGACGUAUACGGUGUGACGCCUGCCCGGUGCCGGAAGGUUAAUUGAUGGGGUCAGCGCAAGCGAAGCUCUUGAUCGAAGCCCCGGUAAACGGCGGCCGUAACUAUAACGGUCCUAAGGUAGCGAAAUUCCUUGUCGGGUAAGUUCCGACCUGCACGAAUGGCGUAAUGAUGGCCAGGCUGUCUCCACCCGAGACUCAGUGAAAUUGAACUCGCUGUGAAGAUGCAGUGUACCCGCGGCAAGACGGAAAGACCCCGUGAACCUUUACUAUAGCUUGACACUGAACAUUGAGCCUUGAUGUGUAGGAUAGGUGGGAGGCUUAGAAGUGUGGACGCCAGUCUGCAUGGAGCCGACCUUGAAAUACCACCCUUUAAUGUUUGAUGUUCUAACGUUGACCCGUAAUCCGGGUUGCGGACAGUGUCUGGUGGGUAGUUUGACUGGGGCGGUCUCCUCCUAAAGAGUAACGGAGGAGCACGAAGGUUGGCUAAUCCUGGUCGGACAUCAGGAGGUUAGUGCAAUGGCAUAAGCCAGCUUGACUGCGAGCGUGACGGCGCGAGCAGGUGCGAAAGCAGGUCAUAGUGAUCCGGUGGUUCUGAAUGGAAGGGCCAUCGCUCAACGGAUAAAAGGUACUCCGGGGAUAACAGGCUGAUACCGCCCAAGAGUUCAUAUCGACGGCGGUGUUUGGCACCUCGAUGUCGGCUCAUCACAUCCUGGGGCUGAAGUAGGUCCCAAGGGUAUGGCUGUUCGCCAUUUAAAGUGGUACGCGAGCUGGGUUUAGAACGUCGUGAGACAGUUCGGUCCCUAUCUGCCGUGGGCGCUGGAGAACUGAGGGGGGCUGCUCCUAGUACGAGAGGACCGGAGUGGACGCAUCACUGGUGUUCGGGUUGUCAUGCCAAUGGCACUGCCCGGUAGCUAAAUGCGGAAGAGAUAAGUGCUGAAAGCAUCUAAGCACGAAACUUGCCCCGAGAUGAGUUCUCCCUGACUCCUUGA
Molecule: ribosomal RNA, 2786 nt
Filed under: Escherichia coli
Lineage: Bacteria; Pseudomonadati; Pseudomonadota; Gammaproteobacteria; Enterobacterales; Enterobacteriaceae
Description: bacterial LSU rRNA
Rfam family: Bacterial large subunit ribosomal RNA
Source: RNAcentral